AUUUCUUUGUGUUAAUUAAGAAUGAGUCCUGCUCAAUGUAUAAUAAAUAGCCGCGGUAUUUUGACUGUGCAAAGGUAGCAUAAUAAUUAGUCUUGUAAUUUAAGACUGGGAUGAAAGGAUAAACUAGAAAACCUCUUUUUUAAUUAUUGAUUUUGAAUUUUACCUUUUAGUAAGAAGGCUAAAAUGACUCUUUUAGACAAGAAGACCCUAUAAAACUUUACAUAAAAUAAUUUAAUAUAUUAAAAAUGUGUUUUGCUGGGGCGGUAGAGAGAAAAACACUCUCAAAUACAUAAAAAUUGCAUUAUUUCAAUACCCAAAAUUUUUGAAAAUUAAAUAAGUUACUUUAGGGAUAACAGCGUUAUAUACUUUAAGAGCUCAAAUUGACAAGUAUGUUUGCGACCUCGAUGUUGGAUUAAAUUUCCUUUAUUACGCAAGAGUUAUAUUAGGAGGUCUGUUCGACCUGUAAAAAUUUCCA
Molecule: ribosomal RNA, 475 nt
Filed under: Centruroides testaceus
Lineage: Eukaryota; Metazoa; Arthropoda; Arachnida; Scorpiones; Buthidae
Description: partial 16S ribosomal RNA
Rfam family: Archaeal large subunit ribosomal RNA
Source: RNAcentral